CACGGAGUUAGCCGGGGCUUCUUCUCUCGGUACCGUCAAUGCCACGACGUAUUAGGUCGCGACCGAUUCGUCCCGAUCGAAAGGAGUUUACGAUCCGAAAAUCUUCAUCCUCCACGCGGCGUUGCGUCGUCAGGCUUUCGCCCAUUGCGAACAAUUCCCCACUGCUGCCUCCCGUAGGAGUCUGGGCCGUGUCUCAGUCCCAGUGUGGCCGUCCGCCCUCUCAGGCCGGCUACCGAUCGUCGCCUUGGUAGGCCGUUACCCCACCAACUAGCUAAUCGGACGCGGGCCCCUCUUCAAGCGCCAGGUCUUGCGAUCCCCAGCUUUAAUCACCAUCUCUUCAAAGACGGGAUUUCAUGCGGUAUUAGCGUCCCUUUCGGGACGUUAUCCCCCACUCGAAGGCAGGUCACCCACGUGUUACUCACCCGUUCGCCACUCUACUCAGGGAUUGCUCCCCUUUCGCGUUCGACUUGCAUGUGUUAGGCACGCCGCCAGCGUUGAUUCUGAGCCAGGAUCAAACUCU
RNAcentral lists this ribosomal RNA (520 nucleotides) under uncultured bacterium. RNAcentral's name for it is "partial 16S ribosomal RNA". The record is from RNAcentral.